Molecule: non-coding RNA, 276 nt
Organism: Pelobates cultripes (western spadefoot toad)
Lineage: Eukaryota; Metazoa; Chordata; Amphibia; Anura; Pelobatidae
Source: the annotation of a GenBank genome assembly
GAGUGAGGGGGGGUGACUAGUGAGGGAGGGGGUGACUAGUGACAGAAUGAGGGAGGGGGUGACUAGUGACAGAGGGAGGGAGAUGGUGACUAGUGACAGAGGGAGGGAGAUUGUGACUGUCACUAGUCACCCCAUCCCUCCCUCUGUCACUAGUCACUCCCUCCCUAACUAUGUCACUAGUCAUCCCCUCCCUCACUCUGUCACCAGUCACCCCCUCCCUCUGUCACUGUGUCACCCCAUCCCUCCCUCUGUCACUAGUCACUCCCUCCCUCACUC